UACGGAGGGUGCAAGCGUUGCUCGGAAUCACUGGGCGUAAAGCGACCGCAGGCGGUCUGACAAGUCGGAUGUGAAAGCCCUGGGCUCAACUCAGGAACUGCAUUCGAAACUGGCAGACUCGAGUACGGGAGAGGGGGGUGGAAUUCCUGGUGUAGGGGUGAAAUUCGUUGAUAUCAGGAGGAACACCGGCGGCGAAGGCGGCCCCCUGGCCCGCAACUGACGCUCAUGGUCGAAAGCGUGGGGAGCAAACAGG
Molecule: ribosomal RNA, 253 nt
Filed under: uncultured bacterium
Lineage: Bacteria
Description: partial 16S ribosomal RNA
Rfam family: Bacterial small subunit ribosomal RNA
Source: RNAcentral